This 254-nucleotide ribosomal RNA is filed under the name uncultured bacterium. RNAcentral describes it as "partial 16S ribosomal RNA". It matches the Rfam family "Bacterial small subunit ribosomal RNA", at positions 524 to 776 of the family's 1533-position model. The record is from RNAcentral.
UACGUAGGGUGCGAGCGUUGUCCGGAAUUAUUGGGCGUAAAGAGCUCGUAGGCGGUCUGUCGCGUCGGUCGUGAAAACUUGGGGCUUAACCCUGAGCUUGCGGUCGAUACGGGCAUGACUGGAGUUCGGCAGGGGAGACUGGAAUUCCUGGUGUAGCGGUGAAAUGCGCAGAUAUCAGGAGGAACACCGGUGGCGAAGGCGGGUCUCUGGGCCGUAACUGACGCUGAGGAGCGAAAGCGUGGGGAGCGAACAGG